GACGAACGCUGGCGGCGUGCUUAACACAUGCAAGUCGAACGGAAAGGCCCUGAUUUUGUGGGGUGCUCGAGUGGCGAACGGGUGAGUAACACGUGAGUAACCUGCUCUUGACUUUGGGAUAACUUAAGGAAACUGGGCUUAAUCCAGUAUAGGAGCCCCCCUUCCUUGGGGGGGGUGGGAAGUUUUCGGCGGUCGGGGAUGGAUUCGCGGCUUUCCGGCUUGUUGGUGGGGUAGUGGCUUCCCCAGGCUUUGACGGGUCCCCGGCUUGGGAGGGUGACCGGCCACAAGAGGACUAAGAUACGGAGCAGAGGCGAACAGUAGACAACAGGGGGGAAUAUGACACAGUGAGCGGGAGCGUGAUGCAGAGGCGUCGCGUGCGGAAUGACGGCCUUCGGGUUAUGAACCGCUGUCGCCUAAGACGAAGCUUUAGUGACGGUAAUGAGUGAAGAAGCACCGGCUAACUACGUG
Molecule: ribosomal RNA, 468 nt
Filed under: uncultured bacterium
Lineage: Bacteria
Description: partial 16S ribosomal RNA
Rfam family: Bacterial small subunit ribosomal RNA
Source: RNAcentral